GACGAGGGAUCCUAGCGUUGUUCGGAAUCAUUGGGCGUAAAGCGGAUGUAGGUGGCUUUGUAAGUCAGGUGUGAAAGCCCCGAGCUCAACUCGGGAAGUGCAUUUGAUACUGCGAAGCUUGAGUGUGGAAGAGGUAAGUAGAAUACCUGGUGUAGUGGUGAAAUACGUAGAUAUCAGGUGGAAUACCGGAGGCGAAGGCGGCUUACUGGUCCAACACUGACACUGAGAUCCGAAAGCGUGGGGAUCAAACAGG
RNAcentral lists this ribosomal RNA (253 nucleotides) under uncultured bacterium. RNAcentral describes it as "partial 16S ribosomal RNA". It matches the Rfam family "Bacterial small subunit ribosomal RNA", at positions 524 to 776 of the family's 1533-position model. The record is from RNAcentral.